CAGUAGCCACGGGAAUACAGAGGGUGCGAGCGUUAAUCGGAUUUACUGGGCGUAAAGCGUGCGUAGGCGGCUUUUUAAGUCGGAUGUGAAAUCCCUGAGCUUAACUUAGGAAUUGCAUUCGAUACUGGGAAGCUAGAGUAUGGGAGAGGAUGGUAGAAUUCCAGGUGUAGCGGUGAAAUGCGUAGAGAUCUGGAGGAAUACCGAUGGCGAAGGCAGCCAUCUGGCCUAAUACUGACGCUGAGGUACGAAAGCAUGGGGAGGAAACAGGAUUAGAUACCCGCGUAGUCCCUGUCUCUUAUAC
RNAcentral lists this ribosomal RNA (301 nucleotides) under uncultured bacterium. RNAcentral describes it as "partial 16S ribosomal RNA". It matches the Rfam family "Bacterial small subunit ribosomal RNA", at positions 509 to 807 of the family's 1533-position model. The record is from RNAcentral.